GAUGAACGCUGGCGGCGUGCCUAAUACAUGCAAGUCGAGCGAACAGACGAGGAGCUUGCUCCUCUGACGUUAGCGGCGGACGGGUGAGUAACACGUGGAUAACCUACCUAUAAGACUGGGAUAACUUCGGGAAACCGGAGCUAAUACCGGAUAAUAUAUUGAACCGCAUGGUUCAAUAGUGAAAGACGGUUUUGCUGUCACUUAUAGAUGGAUCCGCGCCGCAUUAGCUAGUUGGUAAGGUAACGGCUUACCAAGGCAACGAUGCGUAGCCGACCUGAGAGGGUGAUCGGCCACACUGGAACUGAGACACGGUCCAGACGCCUACGGGAGGCAGCAGUAGGGAAUCUUCCGCAAUGGGCGAAAGCCUGACGGAGCAACGCCGCGUGAGUGAUGAAGGUCUUCGGAUCGUAAAACUCUGUUAUUAGGGAAGAACAAAUGUGGAAGUAACUAUGCACGUCUUGACGGUACCUAAUCAGAAAGCCACGGCUAACUACGUG
Molecule: ribosomal RNA, 497 nt
Filed under: uncultured bacterium
Lineage: Bacteria
Description: partial 16S ribosomal RNA
Rfam family: Bacterial small subunit ribosomal RNA
Source: RNAcentral